CCUACGGGGGGCAGCAGUAGGGAAUCUUCGGCAAUGGACGAAAGUCUGACCGAGCAACGCCGCGUGAGUGAAGAAGGUUUUCGGAUCGUAAAACUCUGUUGGUAGAGAAGAACGUUGGUGAGAGUGGAAAGCUCAUCAAGUGACGGUAACUACCCAGAAAGGGACGGCUAACUACGUGCCAGCAGCCGCGAUAAUACGUAGGUUCCGAGCGUUGUCCGGAUUUAUUGGGCGUAAAGCGAGCGCAGGUGGUUUACUAAGUCUGGUGUGAAAGGCAGUGGCUCAACCAUUGUAUGCAUUGGAAACUGGUAGACUUGAGUGCAGGAGAGGAGAGUGGAAUUCCAUGUGUACCGGUGAAAUGCGUAGCUAUAUGGAGGAACACCGGUGGCGAAAGCGGCUCUCUGGCCUGUAACUGACACUGAGGCUCGAAAGCGUGGGGAGCAAACAGGAUUAGAUACCCGGGUCGUC
RNAcentral lists this ribosomal RNA (465 nucleotides) under uncultured bacterium. Its description in RNAcentral is "bacterial SSU rRNA". It matches the Rfam family "Bacterial small subunit ribosomal RNA", at positions 338 to 795 of the family's 1533-position model. The record is from RNAcentral.